Molecule: long non-coding RNA, 2435 nt
Filed under: Aquilegia coerulea
Lineage: Eukaryota; Viridiplantae; Streptophyta; Magnoliopsida; Ranunculales; Ranunculaceae
Description: long non-coding RNA (ACOE_LNC000383)
Source: RNAcentral
UUUAAGUGGAAUGUAAAACCUAAGACCUAUGUUCUGCAUCUUAACUUAUGUUCGAGAUUAUAAUAAACAACCAAAGUCCUUCAGUCCCAAGAAAAGUCCCUUAAAUCCAACAACGGCUAUUUGAACACCGCUUACUGUACCAGCGGUUGUUGACGAAAAAGUCCCUUGGACUAUAAGCUAGAAGUGUCCCACAAGAUCGACAAAAAAUUAAAGUCCUUUGGACUAUAAACAAGAAAAUUCCCAUAAGAUCGACGAAAACGUCCUUUGGACUAUAAACAAAAAAAGUCCCUUAAGAUCAACGAAAGUCCCUCAGUCCCUUGGACUAUAAACAAGAUAGGAAUGUUGGAAGAAAGAAGUGGACUAUAAACAAGAAAAGUCCCUUAAGAUCGACGAAAAAGUCCCUUGGGCUAUAAACAAGAAAAGUCCCAUAAGAUCGACGAAAAAGUCCUUUGGACUAUAAACAAUAAAAGUCCCUUAAAAUCAACGAAAAUCCCUCAGUCCCUUGGACUAUAAACAAGAUAGGAAUGUUGGAAGAAAAAAGUGGACUAUAAACAAGAAAAGUCCCUUAAGAUCGACGAAAAAGUCCCUUGGACUAUAAACAAGAAAAGUCCCUUGGACUAUAAAACAAAAUAAGUCCUAUAAGAUCAAUAAAAGUCAAGGGACUAUAAACAAGAUGGGAAUGUUGGAAGAAAAAAGUCUUAUAUACAAGAAAAGUCCAUUAAGAUCAACGAAAGUCCCUUAGCCACUAUAAACAAUGAAAGUCCCUCAGUCCCUUUGACUAUAAACAAGAUGGGAAUGUUGGAAGAGAAAAUUCCCCUGGAUUAUAAACUAGAAAAGUCUUUAAGUUCGACGAAAAAGUCCUUUUGACUAUAAACAAUAAAAGUCCUUAAAAUCGACACAAAAGUCCUUUGGACUAUAAACAAGAAAAAUCUCUUAGAUUAUAAACAAAAAAGGUCCCUUGAGAUCAAUGAAAGUCCCUCGGUCCCUUGGACUAUAAACAUGAUGAGAAUGUUGGAAGAAAAAACUCCCUUGAACUACAAACAAGAAAAGUCCAUUGAAAACGACGAAAGUCCCUUAGUCGCUAUAAACGACGAAAGUCUUUAGUCGCUAUAAACGACGAAAGUCCCUUAGUCACUAUAAACGACGAAAGUCCAACAAUCACUUGGACUAUAAAUAGGAUGGGAAUGUUGGAAGAGAAAAAUCCUUUGGGCUAUAAACAAGAAAAGUCCCUUAAGAUCAACAAAAGUGCCAUAGUCACAAUAAUAAAAAAAGCUGGGAAUGUAGGAAGAGAAAUGUCUCUUAGAUUCUAAACAAGUUGAGUGUGGUACCUUAAUUAUGAACUGAUUAUAUACAAUCAUUGCUAAUAUUUUAUUGGGCUUCUUAUUCUUUUAUAUUGUUUCGAUUCUUGGCACAAUUAGUUUGUAUAUUUGGUCUCUUCAGAAUUGUUGAAAUUAAAUAAUUUGUGACUAUAUGAUAUGUUGUUCUAUGAAGGUGCUUAGGAAUAUUGUUUGGUGACCCUAUUAUUGGAAUGCCAUUAUGUUUGGUUAGUGUUCUAUAGCUGUAUACUAUGUGGAGAUGUUAGUGGUAAAUACUAAAUAUAUUGGUGGUUUGAAGCUCAUGUAAUUUGGCUUGCAUGUUAUGAGGACUUGCAAAACAUAUCAUAAUGUGAUAUUGUUUGUUCUCUUAAGUUCAUAAUGUAUGUUUUCUUUAAGUUGGAUUUGGAAACUCCUGUUCAUGAGGGUUGUGGUUUGAAUCAAUUUCCUGGAGAUUAAAAAAAAAAAAAAACUGAGGAUUGGAUGUCGGGUUUUGUUUAAGUGGAGUGUAAAACCUAAGACCUAUGUUCUGCAUCUUGACAUAUGUUUGAGAUUAUAAUAAAAAACGAAAGUCCCUCGUUCCCUUGGACUAUAUAAAAACGAAAAUUCCAUUGGGCUAUAAACAAAAAAAGUCCCUUAAGAUCAACAAAAAUCCUUCAGUCCCUUAGACUAUAAACAAGAUGGGAAUGUUGAAAGAGAAAAAUCCCCUGGAUUAUAAAAAAAGAAGUCCCUUGGACUAUAAACAAGAAAAAUCCAUUAAGAUCGACGAAAAAGUCCUUUGCACUAUAAACAUGAAAAGUCCCUUGGACUAUAAACAAAAAAGUCUUUUAAGAUCAACGAAAGUCUCUCAGUCCUUUGGACUAUAAACAAAAUGCGAAUGUUGGAGGAGAAAAGUCUCCUGGACUACAAACAAGAUAAGUCCCCUAAGAUUGACGAAAAAGUCCCUCGGAUUAUAAACAAGAAAAGUCCCUUGGACUAUAAACAAAAAAAAAGCUCCUUAAGAUCAACGAAGGUCCCUCAAUCCCUUGGAUUAUAAACAAGAUGGCAAUGUUGGAAGAAAAAAGUCCCUUGGACUAUAAACAAGAAAAGUCCGUUAAUAUCAAGGAAAUUGCUGGGAAUGUA